ACUCAAUUGUUAAAGGCUGUAUGAUGAGCUAUAGUUGCGUACUUCAUUUGGUCUGUGGUGGUGAAGUUAUUACAUUAGCAAUCAUGCCAUACUACAUGGUGACUGCAAUAUGAUUCUGUUGUAUGGAACAGACCAUAAAUCUCAUUUAUAAAAAAAUACUGAUUAAUGUCUUGAGUUUCAAAAGAAACCACAAUCCAGAUAACAUUAACAAUUAACCAUAAUGAGCAGAAGAUUUGUGGAAAAAUUGCAACAUGAC
Molecule: long non-coding RNA, 256 nt
Filed under: Mytilus galloprovincialis (Mediterranean mussel)
Lineage: Eukaryota; Metazoa; Mollusca; Bivalvia; Mytilida; Mytilidae
Source: RNAcentral